GAUGAACGCUGGCGGCGUGCCUAAUACAUGCAAGUCGAGCGAACGGACGAGAAGCUUGCUUCUCUGAUGUUAGCGGCGGACGGGCGAGUAACACGUGGAUAACCUACCUAUAAGACUGGGAUAACUUCGGGAAACCGGAGCUAAUACCGGAUAAUAUUUUGAACCGCAUGGUUCAAAAGUGAAAGACGGUCUUGCUGUCACUUAUAGAUGGAUCCGCGCUGCAUUAGCUAGUUGGUAAGGUAACGGCUUACCAAGGCAACGAUGCAUAGCCGACCUGAGAGAGUGAUCGGCCACACUGGAACUGAGACACGGUCCAGACUCCUACGGGAGGCAGCAGUAGGGAAUCUUCCGCAAUGGGCGAAAGCCUGACGGAGCAACGCCGCGUGAGUGAUGAAGGUCUUCGGAUCGUAAAACUCUGUUAUUAGGGAAGAACAUAUGUGUAAGUAACUGUGCACAUCUUGACGGUACCUAAUCAGAAAGCCACGGCUAACUACGUG
Molecule: ribosomal RNA, 497 nt
Filed under: uncultured bacterium
Lineage: Bacteria
Description: partial 16S ribosomal RNA
Rfam family: Bacterial small subunit ribosomal RNA
Source: RNAcentral